UGUGCAGGGAGGAGGAAACAUUUUGGAGCCGCUUUUGAGGAGCAGCGAUAUGGAUGUUACUCACAAUGAUAAUGAAAUUCAUACCGUCUCCAGGACUCAACGACUCAUUAAACUCCUAAAAAACCUUCAACUCUUUGCUAGCAUGAACAGCAUGCUAACGCUAAGCUAGCCAAGAUCCCAGACUGACGAUAAAGCUGAAUGCCGACCCCCGCCCGACAGUCAGACCCUGCACUUCAACAGAGACGAGAUGAGAAGUUCGUUCAGGAGAGAGGAAGAGUAGAGCUGGCAGCAGCCAGAUGAGGUGGUUCGAGAAUCCUCCGAGGCACCACCCAGGCUGUAACGAGGCUGAACAUCAGGGUGGUGAUGAAGAGGAGGACGGACAGGAGAAGAGAUGUGAGAGCAGAGGAUGCUGUACACCAGCGGGGAGGAGGGGGGAGACUGAGGAAGGCGAGAGGAUGAGCGACGAGGCCGCCUGCCUGGACUCUGAGGCACUGAGGCGUUGUGGGAACCGCUCCUGAGGGUGGAUGAUGAGGCGUUCCCG
Long non-coding RNA from Oreochromis aureus, 541 nucleotides. RefSeq lists it as uncharacterized. The transcript is spliced from 4 exons. Lineage: Eukaryota; Metazoa; Chordata; Actinopteri; Cichliformes; Cichlidae. The record is from RefSeq and is a predicted model, not a curated record.